This 75-nucleotide transfer RNA is filed under the name Streptomyces chryseus. RNAcentral's name for it is "tRNA-Met". It matches the Rfam family "tRNA". From Rfam's summary of the family: Transfer RNA (tRNA) molecules are approximately 80 nucleotides in length. Their secondary structure includes four short double-helical elements and three loops (D, anti-codon, and T loops). The record is from RNAcentral. Lineage: Bacteria; Bacillati; Actinomycetota; Actinomycetes; Kitasatosporales; Streptomycetaceae.
CGCGGGGUGGAGCAGUUCGGUAGCUCGCUGGGCUCAUAAUCCAGAGGUCGCAGGUUCAAAUUCUGUCCCCGCUAC